GAAUGGUGGCCGAUGCGAUAAUGCGAAUGGACCUAUCUAGAGCCAGUUUUUGGGUUUGUCUGUUCUGGGCUACAGUACAACAAUAUGGUGGACUCCAAGAAAGAGGAUUUGCUCCAAAUUUUUACACACAGGAAUGAUGUGCCAAGCCAAAACGUCCUACAUUGACACUGAGAUUGAGUGGGGCGCUCGCUUUGAGUCCCGCAUGAGUCCGGAGAAAGGCUCCUUCAGAGCGGACCUGCGCCGGUUUCACACCGCCCACCAGGUCCCACUGACCCGCUGCAGCGCCAGCCAGGCCCACCGGUUAAUGACUCUGGCACAAGACUCCAGAGCCACUAAAGACUGGGGGACUUGGACUAAGACAAGCAACCGUCUCACGGUGGAUUCAGUUUUGAUAAUAUCCCGGAGGAGAGAGCGUCUGAGGACAAUGAAAGUGAAGGGAGUUCAGGAAAACACGCACCGCGGUCUUAAUUAGUUGCACCUCACCUGCAUCGGUCAGAUAUUUUAUUGAGCGAGGAGAUCCAGUGAAGAAGAUCCAAUGAGUCCAGUAAACGGUGAACUUCCCAGCUUGAAUCCCAGGAAUCUGGAUCUGCAGCGCCACUGGAAUACCCGGAUGAACUAUCUGCUUUUGGGACUGCGGUUCACGCUGCACCUCAUCUCCUCUUCCACAGAACCGACACCCUGCACAGGCGUCACCUUUGCAAACAAC
This is a long non-coding RNA of Plectropomus leopardus (leopard coralgrouper), 706 nucleotides long. RefSeq lists it as uncharacterized. The record is from RefSeq and is a predicted model, not a curated record. Lineage: Eukaryota; Metazoa; Chordata; Actinopteri; Perciformes; Serranidae.